GGGUGUUAUCAACCACGACAGUGUUUCGCUCGACAAUCUGGGGAUAUAUAAGGACGAUUACUUAUCUUACCUAAAACAAGAUAUUAUGCUACUAGGCGCUGUUAUGCUCGAAGCAAAAGCUAUCUAUUAUGAUUUGUAUCAGGUCGACAUACUUAAUCGAUUAACAAUAUCUUCACUGGCCCUCUCCAUCUUUAGGCGUAAAUACAUAAACGAUAGUGAAAAGAAUAGGAUCUACAUCCUAAACGACAAUGAAGAACAAUUCAUUAGGAGUGGAUACUACGGCGGUCAUACAGAUGUAUAUCUACCUACGGGG
RNAcentral lists this unclassified non-coding RNA (313 nucleotides) under Zea mays. RNAcentral describes it as "misc RNA Zm00001eb385950". The record is from RNAcentral. Lineage: Eukaryota; Viridiplantae; Streptophyta; Magnoliopsida; Poales; Poaceae.